GCUAGUAGUAUAGCUAUAGUAAUAAACGUAAUUUAGAAUAGAGGUUGCGGACUCGGGGGCAGUACCCGACGCCUCCACCAAUACUCGAUGAACUUCGUAUACCAGUCGAUAUCAAUACUGCUUAUCUUUUAAAAAUUGUAUUUUAUUUUGAGAGGUGAGCACCCGCAGCCUAUACUUAAUAGGUAAGGAUGCGAAUCCUUGAUAAAAUGAAAUGCAAUUUUUAAAAGAUAAGCAGUAUUUUAUGGGGGCGAAAUAGGAUCGACGUACCUAAUAAAAAGAUUGCUUUUACUCGGGAUGAUUCCGCCGAUGGCUUUUGCCAUAUGGGUCAAAACAAAGAAACGCAAACGAUAAUAAUCGUUCUGUAGAUUUAGCUCUAGCAGCUUAAUCCUACGCGGCUGGGGGUUUGCCGGGCAACAGAAAAACCCCAUA
RNAcentral lists this transfer-messenger RNA (429 nucleotides) under Rickettsia australis. Its description in RNAcentral is "Permuted(alpha) tmRNA". It matches the Rfam family "Alphaproteobacteria transfer-messenger RNA", at positions 40 to 355 of the family's 355-position model. From Rfam's summary of the family: Bacterial tmRNA, also known as 10Sa RNA or SsrA, is named for its dual tRNA and mRNA-like properties. Its role is to liberate the mRNA from a stalled ribosome. To accomplish this part of the tmRNA is used as a reading frame that ends in a translation stop signal. RNAcentral also lists the same sequence under 2 other names. The record is from RNAcentral. Lineage: Bacteria; Pseudomonadati; Pseudomonadota; Alphaproteobacteria; Rickettsiales; Rickettsiaceae.